RNAcentral lists this ribosomal RNA (224 nucleotides) under uncultured bacterium. Its description in RNAcentral is "partial 16S ribosomal RNA". It matches the Rfam family "Bacterial small subunit ribosomal RNA", at positions 524 to 744 of the family's 1533-position model. The record is from RNAcentral.
UACGUAGGGGGCGAGCGUUGUCCGGAUUUUACUGGGCGUAAAGCGCGUGUAGGCGGCCCGUUAAGUGGGGUGUGAAAGCCCGGGGCUCAACCCCGGGACGGCCGCUUCAAACUGGCGGGCUUGAGGACGGAAGAGGGGAGUGGAAUUCCUGGUGUAGCGGUGAAAUGCGGUAGAGAUCAGGAGGAACACCCGUGGCGAAGGCGGCUCCCUGGUCCGUCCCUGAC